Molecule: non-coding RNA, 23 nt
Filed under: Rattus norvegicus (Norway rat)
Lineage: Eukaryota; Metazoa; Chordata; Mammalia; Rodentia; Muridae
Source: RNAcentral
UAAAAAGCAGGACUGAGAUGAUU